ACGCUGGCGGCAUGCUUUACACAUGCAAGUCGGACGGCAGCACAGAGAAGCUUGCUUCUUGGGUGGCGAGUGGCGAACGGGUGAGUAACAUAUCGGAACGUACCGAGCAGUGGGGGAUAACUAAUCGAAAGAUUAGCUAAUACCGCAUAUAUUCUGAGGAAGAAAGCAGGGGACCAUUUGGCCUUGCGCUGUUUGAGCGGCCGAUAUCUGAUUAGCUAGUUGGUGGGGUAAAGGCCUACCAAGGCGACGAUCAGUAGCGGGUCUGAGAGGAUGAUCCGCCACACUGGGACUGAGACACGGCCCAGACUCCUACGGGAGGCAGCAGUGGGGAAUUUUGGACAAUGGGCGCAAGCCUGAUCCAGCCAUGCCGCGUGUCUGAAGAAGGCCUUCGGGUUGUAAAGGACUUUUGUCAGGGAAGAAAAGGGCGGGGUUAAUACCCCUGUCUGAUGACGGUACCUGAAGAAUAAGCACCGGCUAACUACGUGCCAGCAGCCGCGGUAAUACGUAGGGUGCGAGCGUUAAUCGGAAUUACUGGGCGUAAAGCGGGCGCAGACGGUUACUUAAGCAGGAUGUGAAAUCCCCGGGCUCAACCUGGGAACUGCGUUCUGAACUGGGUGACUAGAGUGUGUCAGAGGGAGGUAGAAUUCCACGUGUAGCAGUGAAAUGCGUAGAGAUGUGGAGGAAUACCGAUGGCGAAGGCAGCCUCCUGGGAUAACACUGACGUUCAUGCCCGAAAGCGUGGGUAGCAAACAGGAUUAGAUACCCUGGUAGUCCACGCCCUAAACGAUGUCGAUUAGCUGUUGGGCAGCAUGACUGCUUAGUAGCGAAGCUAACGCGUGAAAUCGACCGCCUGGGGUGUACGGUCGCAAGAUUAAAACUCAAAGGAAUUGACGGGGACCCGCACAAGCGG
RNAcentral lists this ribosomal RNA (910 nucleotides) under uncultured bacterium. RNAcentral's name for it is "bacterial SSU rRNA". It matches the Rfam family "Bacterial small subunit ribosomal RNA", at positions 33 to 932 of the family's 1533-position model. The record is from RNAcentral.